RNAcentral lists this ribosomal RNA (164 nucleotides) under uncultured bacterium. RNAcentral describes it as "partial 16S rRNA". It matches the Rfam family "Bacterial small subunit ribosomal RNA", at positions 355 to 511 of the family's 1533-position model. The record is from RNAcentral.
UAGGGAAUCUUCCACAAUGGGCGCAAGCCUGAUGGAGCAACACCGCGUGAAUGAAGAAGGGUUUCGGCUCGUAAAGCUCUGUUGUUAAAGAAGAACACGUAUGAGAGUAACUGUUCAUACGUUGACGGUAUUUAACCAGAAAGUCACGGCUAACUACGCGCCAG